GAUGAACGCUAGCGGCAAGCCUAACACAUGCAAGUCGAACGGUAACUUUUGGUGCUUGCACCGAAAGACGAGUGGCGAACGGGUGCGUAACGCGUAUGCAAUCUGCCUUUUACUAGGGUAUAGCCCAGAGAAAUUUGGAUUAAUCCCCUAUAAUAUCAUUUUUUCGCAUGAUUAAAUGAUUAAAGCUUCGGCGGUAAAAGAUGAGCAUGCGUCCUAUUAGUUUGUAGGUGAGGUAACGGCUCACCUAGACUACGAUAGGUAGGGGCCCUGAGAGGGGGACCCCCCACACUGGUACUGAGACACGGACCAGACUCCUACGGGAGGCAGCAGUGAGGAAUAUUGGACAAUGGAGGCAACUCUGAUCCAGCCAUGCCGCGUGCAGGAAGACUGCCCUAUGGGUUGUAAACUGCUUUUAUACAGGAAGAAAUACCUCUACGUGUAGAGGCUUGACGGUACUGUAAGAAUAAGGAUCGGCUAACUCCGUGCCAGCCGCCGCCGUAACAC
RNAcentral lists this ribosomal RNA (504 nucleotides) under uncultured bacterium. RNAcentral describes it as "bacterial SSU rRNA". It matches the Rfam family "Bacterial small subunit ribosomal RNA", at positions 28 to 526 of the family's 1533-position model. The record is from RNAcentral.